This 301-nucleotide ribosomal RNA is filed under the name uncultured bacterium. Its description in RNAcentral is "partial 16S ribosomal RNA". It matches the Rfam family "Bacterial small subunit ribosomal RNA", at positions 509 to 807 of the family's 1533-position model. The record is from RNAcentral.
CAGUCGCCACGGGAAUACGUAGGGUGCAAGCGUUAAUCGGAAUUACAGGGCGUAAAGCGUGCGCAGGCGGUUAUAUAAGACAGAUGUGAAAUCCCCGGGCUCAACCUGGGAACUGCAUUUGUGACUGUAUAGCUAGAGUACGGCAGAGGGGGAUGGAAUUCCGCGUGUAGCAGUGAAAUGCGUAGAUAUGCGGAGGAACACCGAUGGCGAAGGCAAUCCCCUGGGCCUGUACUGACGCUCAUGCACGAAAGCGUGGGGAGCAAACAGGAUUAGAUACCCCGGUAGUCCCUGUCUCUUAUAC